UUAAGCGACUAAGCGUACACGGUGGAUGCCCUGGCAGUCAGAGGCGAUGAAGGACGUGCUAAUCUGCGAUAAGCGUCGGUAAGGUGAUAUGAACCGUUAUAACCGGCGAUUUCCGAAUGGGGAAACCCAGUGUGAUUCGUCACACUAUCAUUAACUGAAUCCAUAGGUUAAUGAGGCGAACCGGGGGAACUGAAACAUCUAAGUACCCCGAGGAAAAGAAAUCAACCGAGAUUCCCCCAGUAGCGGCGAGCGAACGGGGAGCAGCCCAGAGCCUGAAUCAGUGUGUGUGUUAGUGGAAGCGUCUGGAAAGGCGUGCGAUACAGGGUGACAGCCCCGUACACAAAAAUGCACAUACUGUGAGCUCGAUGAGUAGGGCGGGACACGUGGUAUCCUGUCUGAAUAUGGGGGGACCAUCCUCCAAGGCUAAAUACUCCUGACUGACCGAUAGUGAACCAGUACCGUGAGGGAAAGGCGAAAAGAACCCCGGCGAGGGGAGUGAAAAAGAACCUGAAACCGUGUACGUACAAGCAGUGGGAGCACGCUUAGGCGUGUGACUGCGUACCUUUUGUAUAAUGGGUCAGCGACUUAUAUUCUGUAGCAAGGUUAACCGAAUAGGGGAGCCGAAGGGAAACCGAGUCUUAACUGGGCGUUAAGUUGCAGGGUAUAGACCCGAAACCCGGUGAUCUAGCCAUGGGCAGGUUGAAGGUUGGGUAACACUAACUGGAGGACCGAACCGACUAAUGUUGAAAAAUUAGCGGAUGACUUGUGGCUGGGGGUGAAAGGCCAAUCAAACCGGGAGAUAGCUGGUUCUCCCCGAAAGCUAUUUAGGUAGCGCCUCGUGAAUUCAUCUCCGGGGGUAGAGCACUGUUUCGGCAAGGGGGUCAUCCCGACUUACCAACCCGAUGCAAACUGCGAAUACCGGAGAAUGUUAUCACGGGAGACACACGGCGGGUGCUAACGUCCGUCGUGAAGAGGGAAACAACCCAGACCGCCAGCUAAGGUCCCAAAGUCAUGGUUAAGUGGGAAACGAUGUGGGAAGGCCCAGACAGCCAGGAUGUUGGCUUAGAAGCAGCCAUCAUUUAAAGAAAGCGUAAUAGCUCACUGGUCGAGUCGGCCUGCGCGGAAGAUGUAACGGGGCUAAACCAUGCACCGAAGCUGCGGCAGCGACACUAUGUGUUGUUGGGUAGGGGAGCGUUCUGUAAGCCUGUGAAGGUGUACUGUGAGGUAUGCUGGAGGUAUCAGAAGUGCGAAUGCUGACAUAAGUAACGAUAAAGCGGGUGAAAAGCCCGCUCGCCGGAAGACCAAGGGUUCCUGUCCAACGUUAAUCGGGGCAGGGUGAGUCGACCCCUAAGGCGAGGCCGAAAGGCGUAGUCGAUGGGAAACAGGUUAAUAUUCCUGUACUUGGUGUUACUGCGAAGGGGGGACGGAGAAGGCUAUGUUGGCCGGGCGACGGUUGUCCCGGUUUAAGCGUGUAGGCUGGUUUUCCAGGCAAAUCCGGAAAAUCAAGGCUGAGGCGUGAUGACGAGGCACUACGGUGCUGAAGCAACAAAUGCCCUGCUUCCAGGAAAAGCCUCUAAGCAUCAGGUAACAUCAAAUCGUACCCCAAACCGACACAGGUGGUCAGGUAGAGAAUACCAAGGCGCUUGAGAGAACUCGGGUGAAGGAACUAGGCAAAAUGGUGCCGUAACUUCGGGAGAAGGCACGCUGAUAUGUAGGUGAAGUCCCUCGCGGAUGGAGCUGAAAUCAGUCGAAGAUACCAGCUGGCUGCAACUGUUUAUUAAAAACACAGCACUGUGCAAACACGAAAGUGGACGUAUACGGUGUGACGCCUGCCCGGUGCCGGAAGGUUAAUUGAUGGGGUUAGCGCAAGCGAAGCUCUUGAUCGAAGCCCCGGUAAACGGCGGCCGUAACUAUAACGGUCCUAAGGUAGCGAAAUUCCUUGUCGGGUAAGUUCCGACCUGCACGAAUGGCGUAAUGAUGGCCAGGCUGUCUCCACCCGAGACUCAGUGAAAUUGAACUCGCUGUGAAGAUGCAGUGUACCCGCGGCAAGACGGAAAGACCCCGUGAACCUUUACUAUAGCUUGACACUGAACAUUGAGCCUUGAUGUGUAGGAUAGGUGGGAGGCUUUGAAGUGUGGACGCCAGUCUGCAUGGAGCCGACCUUGAAAUACCACCCUUUAAUGUUUGAUGUUCUAACGUUGACCCGUAAUCCGGGUUGCGGACAGUGUCUGGUGGGUAGUUUGACUGGGGCGGUCUCCUCCUAAAGAGUAACGGAGGAGCACGAAGGUUGGCUAAUCCUGGUCGGACAUCAGGAGGUUAGUGCAAUGGCAUAAGCCAGCUUGACUGCGAGCGUGACGGCGCGAGCAGGUGCGAAAGCAGGUCAUAGUGAUCCGGUGGUUCUGAAUGGAAGGGCCAUCGCUCAACGGAUAAAAGGUACUCCGGGGAUAACAGGCUGAUACCGCCCAAGAGUUCAUAUCGACGGCGGUGUUUGGCACCUCGAUGUCGGCUCAUCACAUCCUGGGGCUGAAGUAGGUCCCAAGGGUAUGGCUGUUCGCCAUUUAAAGUGGUACGCGAGCUGGGUUUAGAACGUCGUGAGACAGUUCGGUCCCUAUCUGCCGUGGGCGCUGGAGAAUUGAGGGGGGCUGCUCCUAGUACGAGAGGACCGGAGUGGACGCAUCACUGGUGUUCGGGUUGUCAUGCCAAUGGCACUGCCCGGUAGCUAAAUGCGGAAGAGAUAAGUGCUGAAAGCAUCUAAGCACGAAACUUGCCCCGAGAUGAGUUCUCCCUGACUCCUUGAGAGUCCUGAAGGAACGUUGAAGACGACGACGUUGAUAGGCCGGGUGUGUAAGCGCAGCGAUGCGUUGAGCUAACCGGUACUAAUGAACCGUGAGGCUUAACCU
Molecule: ribosomal RNA, 2900 nt
Filed under: Escherichia coli
Lineage: Bacteria; Pseudomonadati; Pseudomonadota; Gammaproteobacteria; Enterobacterales; Enterobacteriaceae
Description: 23S ribosomal RNA
Rfam family: Bacterial large subunit ribosomal RNA
Source: RNAcentral